This 76-nucleotide transfer RNA is filed under the name Candidatus Woesearchaeota archaeon. RNAcentral's name for it is "tRNA-Ile". It matches the Rfam family "tRNA". From Rfam's summary of the family: Transfer RNA (tRNA) molecules are approximately 80 nucleotides in length. The record is from RNAcentral. Lineage: Archaea; Nanobdellati; Candidatus Woesearchaeota.
GGGUCUGUAGCUCAGUCUGGUUUCGAGCGCUGGUCUUAUAAGCCAGUGGUCGCGUGUUCAAAUCACGCCAGACCCA